Molecule: ribosomal RNA, 440 nt
Filed under: uncultured bacterium
Lineage: Bacteria
Description: partial 16S ribosomal RNA
Rfam family: Bacterial small subunit ribosomal RNA
Source: RNAcentral
CCUACGGGUGGCAGCAGUGGGGGAUAUUGCACAAUGGGCGAAAGCCUGAUGCAGCGACGCCGCGUGAGGGAAGACGGUCUUCGGAUUGUAAACCUCUGUCUUUGGGGAAGAAUAGAGACGGUACCCAAAGAGGAAGCUCCGGCUAACUACGUGCCAGCAGCCGCGGUAAUACGCAGGGAGCGAGCGUUGUCCGGAAUUACUGGGUGUAAAGGGAUCGUAGGCGGGAUUUUAAGUUGAAUGUCUAAUCCACCGGCUCAACCGGUGAUCGCGUUCAAAACUGCAGGUCUUGAGUGAAGUAGGGGUAGGUGGAAUUCGUGGUGUAGCGGUGAAAUGCGUAGAUAUUAGGAGGAACACCAGUGGCGAAGGCAGCAUGCUGGGCUUUAACUGACGCUGAGGCUCGAAAGCGUGGGGAGCAAACAGGAUUAGAUACCCGGGUAGUC